AGCUCAAAUUUGAAAGCCCGCGGGCGUUGUAAUUUGCAGGCGGAUGUUUUGGGGCGGGCGCUGUCUACGUUCCUUGGAACAGGACGCCGCAGAGGGUGAGAGCCCCGUGCGAUGGCGCCUCCAACCGCGUAAAACUCCGCCGACGAGUCGAGUUGUUUGGGAAUGCAGCUCCAAGUGGGUGGUAAAUUCCAUCUAAAGCUAAAUACUGGCGAGAGACCGAUAGCGAACAAGUACAGUGAUGGAAAGAUGAAAAGCACUUUGAAAAGAGAGUGAAACAGCACGUGAAAUUGUUGAAAGGGAAGGGUAUGCGAUUAGCGGCCAGCAGGAGGUGCCUUCUCGUGAAAAGGCCGUGCACCGUCUUCGGACACCGUGCGCGGAGAUGGCGAGGGGGCGCCUGAGGUCUGCGACUCGAGGUUGCUGGCGUAAUGAUUGCAUACCACCCGUCUUGAA
RNAcentral lists this ribosomal RNA (450 nucleotides) under Diutina rugosa. RNAcentral describes it as "partial large subunit ribosomal RNA". It matches the Rfam family "Eukaryotic large subunit ribosomal RNA", at positions 106 to 658 of the family's 3401-position model. The record is from RNAcentral. Lineage: Eukaryota; Fungi; Ascomycota; Pichiomycetes; Serinales; Debaryomycetaceae.